RNAcentral lists this ribosomal RNA (2778 nucleotides) under Triticum aestivum (bread wheat). RNAcentral's name for it is "partial small subunit ribosomal RNA". The record is from RNAcentral. Lineage: Eukaryota; Viridiplantae; Streptophyta; Magnoliopsida; Poales; Poaceae.
AUGCUCCCUCCGGCGGGUCCCUCCCGCAUCGCCACCGCAGCGCCGCCAUUCGCCGCUCCUCCCCCUUCUGCGGUGCCAAUCCUGCUUCGUUGGCUCACCAUCCAGUACAGCGCAACCGGCGCUCGGAGCCAGACACGCCCAUCGCGCCUCUGCCCCUCCGGCCGAUUGCGGACUUGCGUCCCUGCCCCGGCCGCUGCAAGCCGACGUCAGCCGCCCAAACACCCAACCUGCACUCUAAUAUUUCCGGUGGUUGCCCUCUUGCACGAUUUGAGGCGGACCACCCUGUUGUCAAACGCUAGCUCCGCCACUGCUCGUCGGAUCCCGUUCAGCCGUCCGAUGGAGAAGGCUAUAACUAUCAACGCGAACUCAUGGACUGAUGCUGGUCAUGCAGUCAACCAGUUGUAUGAUCUCCUCUACAUGAUGGGCCGUGAUGACAUUGCGGUGGGAGUCGGAGGGGAGGGUGGUAUAUCCAAUGAUGGUAGAAUUUAUCCUCACGUUGGUGGCUAUUUCCCAAUAAUUGACCAGGGAAUGUCAACAAUAGGGGAGUGUCGAUACCGACAAUCAAUUCCACAGGGAUCAGGUGGCCGCUUGGACAUCAACGCGAAUUAUGGAGUUCGACGGGAAAUUCUUCCUCAGGGAAAUAGAAGUUACUCCCCUCUUCAACAGCCAACAACUCAACAAGUGAUGAUUGACACCAUAUCCGCUGGGCCAACGAAUGUCUUCCUCUUCGGAACACAUACAAACUUUGCGCUGUUCCUCAUGAGCAACCCUCACCUAAAGAAAAACGUGAAGCACAUUUACAUAAUGGGUGGGGGUGUGAGAUCGCAAAAUCCCACUGGUUGCUGCCCCAAGAACGACACAUCAUGCGUGCCACGACAAUGUGGUGAUCAUGGCAACAUGUUUACAACUUACACCAAAAAUCCACAUGCCGAGUUCAACAUAUAUGGAGACCCUUUUGGCGUGUAUCAGGUCUUUCAUUCUGGUAUCCCGAUCACCCUUGUGCCACUCGAUGCAACCAACACGAUACCAAUCACUGAGUCCUUCUUCAAGGCAUUUGAGGAGCAACAGAGCACUUAUGAGGCACAGUACUCCUUCCAGUCUUUGAAGAUUGCUUGCGAUACCUGGUUUGAUGACCAGUUCUACACAGGUUACUUUAUGUGGGAUUCUUUCAUGUCUGGUGUGGCACUCUCAAUAAUGCGCAAUGGUCAGAAACUGAAUGGCGAUAACGAUUUUGCUGAGAUGGAAGUGAUGAACAUAACUGUGGUUACAUCCAAUGAACCAUACGGUGUGCAUGAUGGAUCAAAUCCAUUCUUUGAUGGACAUGCAAGCCCAAAAUUUGAUUUAUUGAAAGGUGGUGUACAUAGUGGUCAUGUUCAGAUAGGAUUCAAUGAUUCAUUUUGUGUUUUGAAAGGGGGCACUAAAGGAAAAUGCCAGGAUGGAUACACCAAAGAAGUGCAAGGUCCUGACUCGGUUGCUGUACUUGUCGCAGUGAAGGCAAAACCUAAUAGAAAUGUUAAAAGUCCUCUUGAUAGAGAGUUUUUUGACCACUUUCUCGAGGUCCUGAAUCGCCCUGAACACACUGGGCACUUCAAUUUUACCGAUCAGUUUCGUCACUACAAAGAGAUUAUGUACAAACCUGAUUUGAAACAUCAGAUUAGAGGAAAGCCUGUCAUAUUUGACAUGGACAUGAGUCCUGGAGAUUUUCUUGCCCUCUUGUGCCUCCUGAAAGCACCUAUGGAAGCAAUUGAUUUGAGGGGGAUAUUGGUAAGUGGCAAUGGUUGGGCAAACCCAGCUACAGUAGAUGUUAUCUAUGACGUUCUUCAUAUGAUGGGCCGUGAUGACAUUCCAGUAGGACUUGGGAAAAUUACUGCGCUUCGUGCCCCUGACCUUGGAUGUGAAUACGUGAAAGCCAUACCACAUGGUUCUGGUGGUUUUCUUGACACUGACACCCUUUUUGGACUAGCCCGGGUGUUGCCCAGAAGUCCUAGAAGGUACACAGCAGAAAAUUCAGUAAAAUAUGGUGCUCCAAGGGACACCGCGCGCCCUGAGCUCAGGCAGCCAUUGGCUUUUGAAGUUUGGCAACAUAUUAGAGAAGAACUCAAACCAACUGACAAGAUAACCAUCCUGACCAAUGGUCCUCUCACAAACAUAGCAAACAUCAUUCUAUCCGACACAAAAGCAGAAUCAGUAAUUGAGCGCAUUUUUAUAGUCGGGAGUCAUUUGGCUGGCGGAAAUGGAGAUGGAGGCAAUGUGUUCACUGUUCCAUCAAAUAAGUUUUCAGAGUUCAAUUUCUUUCUUGACCCUCAAGCUGCCAAGGCGGUUGUAGAAUCUGAUUUAGACAUCACUCUCAUUCCUUUGAGAGCUCAACGCCAGGUGGCUUCUUUCAAAGAAGUCACAAGAUCGUUGUGUACUGCUGAGAAGACUCCUGAAUCAUCGUUUGCAUACCAGUUGUUGCUGUCAAUGCAGAAACUGCAAAAGAAUAACCAAGCAUAUCGUCACAUUGACAUGUUCCUUGGUGAGCUUCUUGGUGCUGUGUUCUUGGUUCAGCAAUCACAUCUGAAUCACUCGAUCACCCAAAGGGCCAUCACUGUUAGAUCUGGUCAUGUGAGCAUCGAUGGUCAGACCAUCCUCCGCCGGACGAACGGAAAGGUAGUAAAGGUACUAGAUCAUCUCGACGCAGAUGCUUACUACACCGAGUUUGCGAAGCUGCUCAAUGCGAAGAAGCAGUCUGCGGUCGUGGGUAGCUUUGAUGAGCAGAAAAGAAUGUGGAACAAAUGA